GUAGAGUGCAAGUCUAAUAUAGCACUGUCAAAGGUGCCGGGGCUUCUCCCGUUU
This 54-nucleotide transfer RNA is filed under the name Rhoptropus boultoni (Boultons Namib day gecko). RNAcentral's name for it is "partial tRNA-Cys". The record is from RNAcentral. Lineage: Eukaryota; Metazoa; Chordata; Lepidosauria; Squamata; Gekkonidae.